RNAcentral lists this transfer RNA (62 nucleotides) under Echinolaelaps echidninus. RNAcentral describes it as "tRNA-Met". Lineage: Eukaryota; Metazoa; Arthropoda; Arachnida; Mesostigmata; Laelapidae. The record is from RNAcentral.
UUUGUAAUAAGCUAAGAAAGCUAUCGGGCUCAUAAUCCGACAAUGACAUUGUUCUUACAAAG